This is a long non-coding RNA of Cucurbita moschata (crookneck pumpkin), 302 nucleotides long. RefSeq lists it as uncharacterized. The record is from RefSeq and is a predicted model, not a curated record. NCBI's taxonomy places the organism in Eukaryota, Viridiplantae, Streptophyta, Magnoliopsida, Cucurbitales, Cucurbitaceae. The transcript is spliced from 3 exons.
GAAGCUCGAUUCCUUUCUUUGAAGCCCUCGAACAAAACACACCCUUUGUUCGAAAUUUGAGGAUCCUAUUGAUAUGACUAAGUUUUGGGCAUUACUCUGAUACCAUGUUAAGAAUCACGACUCUCCGAUAUGAUAUUGUCCACCUUGAACAUAAGCUCCAUGGUUUUGCUUUGGGCUUCCCAAAAAGUCUCAUACCAAUGGAGAUAGUAUUCCUCACUUAUAAACUCAUGAUCUUCCACUAAAUUAACCAAUGUGGGACUCACCCCCAAUAAUCUUCAACAGACUUUGACCCAAACUAUGAA